UACAGAGAGUGCGAACGUUGUUCGGAAUCACUGGGCUUAAAGCGCACGUAGGCGGCAUCGUAAGUGUCGGGUGAAAUCCCACGGCUCACCCGUGGAACUGCCCGGCAGACUGCGAUGCUCGAGUGUGGGAGAGGGAUGCGGAAUUCCAGGUGUAGCGGUGAAAUGCGUAGAUAUCUGGAGGAACACCGGUGGCGAAGGCGGCAUCCUGGACCGACACUGACGCUGAGGCGCGAAAGCUAGGGUAGCAAACGGG
This 253-nucleotide ribosomal RNA is filed under the name uncultured bacterium. Its description in RNAcentral is "partial 16S ribosomal RNA". It matches the Rfam family "Bacterial small subunit ribosomal RNA", at positions 524 to 776 of the family's 1533-position model. The record is from RNAcentral.